AUUGAACGCUGGCGGCAUGCCUUACACAUGCAAGUCGAACGGCAGCACGGGGGCAACCCUGGUGGCGAGUGGCGAACGGGUGAGUAACAUAUCGGAACAUACCCUAGAGUGGGGGAUAACGUAGCGAAAGUUACGCUAAUACCGCAUACGAUCUAAGGAUGAAAGUGGGGGAUCUUCGGACCUCAUGCUCAUGGAGUGGCCGAUAUCUGAUUAGCUAGUUGGUGAGGUAAAGGCUCACCAAGGCGACGAUCAGUAGCUGGUUUGAGAGAACGACCAGCCACACUGGAACUGAGACACGGUCCAGACUCCUACGGGAGGCAGCAGUGGGGAAUUUUGGGACAAUGGGGGCAACCCUGAUCCAGCAAUGCCGCGUGAGUGAAGAAGGCCUUGGUUGUAAACGUACUUUCUACCUGUGACGAUGAUGACGGUAGCAGGAGAAGAAGCACCGGCUAACUCCGUGCCAGCAGCCGCGGUAA
RNAcentral lists this ribosomal RNA (476 nucleotides) under uncultured bacterium. Its description in RNAcentral is "bacterial SSU rRNA". It matches the Rfam family "Bacterial small subunit ribosomal RNA", at positions 30 to 523 of the family's 1533-position model. The record is from RNAcentral.